RNAcentral lists this small RNA (969 nucleotides) under Oryza sativa Japonica Group (Japanese rice). Its description in RNAcentral is "sRNA Os04g0575801". The record is from RNAcentral. Lineage: Eukaryota; Viridiplantae; Streptophyta; Magnoliopsida; Poales; Poaceae.
GAGUUGGUGAUAAUCAAAUAAAAUGAAUUUCCAGAAACAUGUUCUCCCUUUUUUUUUCUUUUAACCUGAAGAAACAUGAUUUCUGUUCGGAAAUAAACUGCCAUUCACAAUACACCUGACAAUCUGUUCAGGAGGAAAAAUAUAUUUUAGUAGGGUAUUUGUAGAAUGAAUCUACAUGUCAUAUCAUAAUACAGCACUAAAACAUGUAUAGGUAUAGCUAGUAAUCUAAAGGUGUAAAUUACCAAAGGGCUAAAAUAUGUAGGAAAGACUCACCAAAGGACACGUGAACCGAAAGCAUGAUAAAACAAAGCGAGUACAGUAAAGUUGGCAAACACCCUGCGGAUGCAUGAUUUGGUAGAAACAGAAUAUUACAUUAGACAGGAUGGGUAUGUUGCCUGACUUGCCUAAUAUCUCUGAAAUGUAUUUUCAGCAAGCAAUCAAGUAAAUAAAAUCAUAUUUUGUUCAAAAUGACACCAUAUACAGCUUGCUACCAUAUUCAUGAAGCCUUGAUUUCAGAAUUCAGUAAGUAAUAACACAACAAUGGUUUAGCAAGAAAAAAAUAUUACCAUGCAUGCUAGAAGAGACCAUAUGGACAUGAAAUAUGAUUUUACUGCUAAAUUAUGGUUUGUCUUCAUGGAGCUGCACAGAUCAAUAUAAUUUGUUAACAUAUAAAAUGAAUCAUUUUAGUGUAUGGGGCACGUAGAGUAAGACUUCAACUUCUAGACUGGAUUUCGCAGGCAGGAAAGAAUAUGCAUCUCUCGAACAACACAACACCCAUACGCAUCUCUUGCCCGUGUCAUAUAAAGAAGGAAAAAUCAAAACUACAAAUCCAUGUUAGGGAGCAGGUUUUCAGUACGUAGAAACAUAAGCUAUCAUAUAUAUUUUUUUACAGAGGAGAAGAAGCAUAAUUACCUGAGAACCUGGCAAGUCCAAUAAAAAAUCCAACAAUACGACGAUCUGCAGGGCUGU